AGUGAACGCUGGCGGUAGGCCUAACACAUGCAAGUCGAACGGCAGCACAGUAAGAGCUUGCUCUUACGGGUGGCGAGUGGCGGACGGGUGAGGAAUACAUCGGAAUCUACUUUUUCGUGGGGGAUAACGUAGGGAAACUUGCGCUAAUACCGCAUACGACCUACGGGUGAAAGCAGGGGAUCUUCGGACCUUGCGCGAUUGAAUGAGCCGAUGUCGGAUUAGCUAGUUGGCGGGGUAAAGGCUCACCAAGGCGACGAUCCGUAGCUGGUCUGAGAGGAUGAUCAGCCACACUGGAACUGAGACACGGUCCAGACUCCUACGGGAGGCAGCAGUGGGGAAUAUUGGACAAAGGGCGCAAGCCUGAUCCAGCCAUACCGCGUGGGUGAAGAAGGCCUUCGGGUUGUAAAGCCCUUUUGUUGGGAAAGAAAAGCAGCAGGUUAAUACCCCGCUGUUCUGACGGUACCCAAAGAAUAAGCACCGGCUAACUUCGUG
Molecule: ribosomal RNA, 492 nt
Filed under: uncultured bacterium
Lineage: Bacteria
Description: partial 16S ribosomal RNA
Rfam family: Bacterial small subunit ribosomal RNA
Source: RNAcentral